CUUGUCCCUGGAAGCCUUGCAGGUGUGGCUGCUGUGUCAUGUGUGCAUCCGUGACAGGGGGGAGAGAGGCCAUGUCUCUGCUCAGAGUUCUGAUCUAGGAACAUCUGAAACCUAAUAUCCUGUAGA
Molecule: small nucleolar RNA, 126 nt
Organism: Grammomys surdaster
Lineage: Eukaryota; Metazoa; Chordata; Mammalia; Rodentia; Muridae
Product: small nucleolar RNA SNORA17
Exons: 1
Source: RefSeq, a predicted model, not a curated record